CUGGUCUGAGAGGAUGAUCAGCCACACUGGUACUGAGACACGGUCCAGACUCCUACGGGAGGCAGCAGUGGGGAAUAUUGCACAAUGGAGGAAACUCUGAUGCAGCAACGCCGCGUGGAGGAUGACGCAUUUCGGUGUGUAAACUCCUUUUAUAUGGGAAGAUAAUGACGGUACCAUAUGAAUAAGCACCGGCUAACUCCGUGCCAGCAGCCGCGGUAAUACGGAGGGUGCAGGCGUUACUCGGAAUCACUGGGCGUAAAGCGCGCGCAGGCGGCCUUUUAAGUUGGAUGUGAAAGCCUAUGGCUCAACCAUAGAACUGCAUCCAAAACUAUCAGGCUAGAGUGUGGGAGAGGAAGAUGGAAUUAGUUGUGUAGGGGUAAAAUCCGUAGAGAUAACUAGGAAUACCAAAAGCGAAGGCAAUCUUCUGGAACAUUACUGACGCUGAGGCGCGAAAGCGUGGGGAGCAAACAGGAUUAGAUACCCUGGUAGUCCACGCCCUAAACGAUGAAUGUUAGUCGUCGGGUAGCUAGUCUAUUCGGUGAUGCUGCUAACGCAUUAAACAUUCCGCCUGGUGAGUACGGUCGCAAGAUUAAAACUCAAAGGAAUAGACGGGGACCCGCACAAGUGGUGGAGCAUGUGGUUUAAUUCGAAAAUACGCGAAGAACCUUACCUAGCCUUGACAUAUUUAAGAACACUUUAGAGAUAGAGUGGUGCCUUCGGGAGCUUUUAUACAGGUGCUGCACGGCUGUCGUCAGCUCGUGUCGUGAGAUGUUGGGUUAAGUCCCGCAACGAGCGCAACCCUCGUCACUAGUUACUAACGGUUCGGCCGAGGACUCUAGUGAGACUGCCUCCGUAAGGAGGAGGAAGGUGAGGACGACGUCAAGUCAUCAUGGCCCUUACGGCUAGGGCAACACACGUGCUACAAUGGCCAGGACAAUGAGAAGCGAUACCGCGAGGUGGAGCAAAUCUAUAAACCUGGUCUCAGUUCGGAUUGUAGUCUGCAACUCACUACAUGAAGCUGGAAUCACUAGUAAUCGUAGAUCAGCUAUGCUACGGUGAAUACGUUCCCGGGUCUUGUACUCACCGCCCGUCACACCAUGGGAGUUGAUUUCACCCGAAGCGGGGAAGCUAAACUGGCUACCCUCCACGGUGGAAUCAGCGACUGGGGUGAAGUCGUAACAAGGUAACCGUAGGAGAACCUGCGGUUG
RNAcentral lists this ribosomal RNA (1208 nucleotides) under metagenome. RNAcentral's name for it is "bacterial SSU rRNA". It matches the Rfam family "Bacterial small subunit ribosomal RNA", at positions 287 to 1520 of the family's 1533-position model. The record is from RNAcentral.